UCAUUAUUGAAUAAACUUGAACAGGCUGUUGCUGGCCCUCCUUGGAGGGAUACGUGCACGCUUGUCAUCUUUAUUUCUCCAACUGUGCACAUAUUGUAGACCUGAGAGAGAGAUGUUUGAUUUAUUUUCGAGUUGGGGACUGCUGUGCUAUCUCAAGUCGGCUUUCCCUUGUAUUUUUCGGGUCUAUGUCAUUUUCACAAACCUAUGAAUCUGUUUAGAAUGUCGAAUCAGGUCAUUUUGUACCUAUAAAGUUAAAUAUACAACUUUCAGCAACGGAUCUCUUGGCUCUCGCAUCGAUGAAGAACGCAGCGAAAUGCGAUAAGUAAUGUGAAUUGCAGAAUUCAGUGAAUCAUCGAAUCUUUGAACGCAUCUUGCGCUCCCUGGUAUUCCGAGGAGCAUGCCUGUUUGAGUGUCAUCUAAAUCCUCAAACCAUAUUGAUUCGUGGGGAUGUGGCUUGGAUGUGGGGGUAUAAUGCAGGCUUUACCUAAAAAUGAAGUCUGCUCCCCUGAAAUGCAUUAGUGGUAUCUGAGCAGAAGAACUACUACAGGUGUGAUAAUUUAUCUAUGCCUUGGUAAUGCUGCAUAAACAGAUUGCGCUGCUUACAACAAACUUAAAUUUAUUUUGGAGACCUCAAAUCAGGUAGGACUACCCGCUGAACUUAAGCAUAUCAAUAGCCGGAGGGAA
This 684-nucleotide small RNA is filed under the name Inocybe sp. SB84. RNAcentral's name for it is "eukaryotic LSU rRNA". The stretch from base 262 to 415 matches the Rfam family "5.8S ribosomal RNA". The record is from RNAcentral. Lineage: Eukaryota; Fungi; Basidiomycota; Agaricomycetes; Agaricales; Inocybaceae.